GACGAACGCUGGCGGCGUGCCUAAUACAUGCAAGUCGAACGCUUCUUUCCUCCCGAGUGCUUGCACUCAAUUGGAAAGAGGAGUGGCGGCCGGGUGAGUAACACGUGGGUAACUUACCCUUCCGAGGGGGAAAACACUUGGAAACAGGUGCUAAUACCGCGUAACAGUUUAUGCCGCAUGGCAUAAGAGUGAAAGGCGCUUUCGGGUGUCGUUGUUGGAUGGACCCGCGGUGCAUUAGCUAGUUGGUGAGGUAACGGCUCACCAAGGCGACGAUGCAUAGCCGACCUGAGAGGGUGAUCGGCCACACUGGGACUGAGACACGGCCCAGACUCCUACGGGAGGCAGCAGUAGGGAAUCUUCGGCAAUGGACGAAAGUCUGACCGAGCAACGCCGCGUGAGUGAAGAAGGUUUUCGGAUCGUAAAACUCUGUUGUUAGAGAAGAACAAGGACGUUAGUAACUGAACGUCCCCUGACGGUAUCUAACCAGAAAGCCACGGCUAACUACGU
Molecule: ribosomal RNA, 507 nt
Filed under: uncultured bacterium
Lineage: Bacteria
Description: partial 16S ribosomal RNA
Rfam family: Bacterial small subunit ribosomal RNA
Source: RNAcentral